Small nuclear RNA from Chrysemys picta bellii (western painted turtle), 107 nucleotides. NCBI's taxonomy places the organism in Eukaryota, Metazoa, Chordata, Testudines, Emydidae. The record is from Ensembl.
GAUUAGCACUCCCCUUGAUAAGGAUGGAAGAGGUCCUAGUGAUUUUUACAACACGCAUAUGGUUAAGGCAUUGCCACUUACUUUGUGGCAUCUAACACUGUUAGUGU